RNAcentral lists this long non-coding RNA (1082 nucleotides) under Gouania willdenowi (blunt-snouted clingfish). RNAcentral's name for it is "lncRNA (ENSGWIG00000016640.1)". Lineage: Eukaryota; Metazoa; Chordata; Actinopteri; Blenniiformes; Gobiesocidae. The record is from RNAcentral.
CUGGGAGUCUCCCCGCCGGCCCCCAGGCACCCCAACCUAGCCCCCCACGGCGCCCCAGAUCACCCUUCACUGAUGCCGCCCGCGCCACGAGCUUCAGUUCUUUUUUUUUUUUUUUAAAGCCAGGGCCCCCUCCAAGGGCCAAGCCAGACCGCCCCGCCGGGAUGUGGCCCCCUAUUCCGGCCCCCGACACCCUACCUCACGGGGCACUGCCCAAGCAGGGGCCGCACCAGUAGGUACGCAAGGGCGCGGCACGCGCCACCCGCCCCGAAAGACCCCCGCCAGGACCGGCCCGGCCAGCAGGCCAAGCACCCCGGGCCCCAGGAGCACCCCCCGGGACCAGGACCCCCCAAGGGCAAGCCCCCGGGCCAAGCCCCCCGGGACGCAUCCCCCACCCCCGCCCGGGACCCGGCCACGGCCCAGCAGGACCGCACAGCCCCGGACAGCCCACGGCCAGCAGCCCAGGGCCCGCCGCCCCCCGGACAGCGCCAGCCACGGAGCAGCGCCCCCCGCCGGCCCGCGAGCAACCGGCGAUCCCCACCGCGGGGACGGAGGCACCCCAACGGCACACAUCAAGUGCGGGACAGCAGCCCCCAGCCAAAGAUGCCCCGGACCCACCCACCAGUCCGCAAACGGCAGGAUAGACCCACCAGGCGGCCGACAGCAACCUCCACCACCGGAACAGCUAGCGCCGCCCCCAGUAAACAGCAUCACCCCGAGGCGCCAAGCAACCCCGCCCCAACCCCGGCGAGGACACCAGCACCCCCCAGCACACCCACCCCCCAAACCGGCGAGGCAGGCCGCCCCGGGCCCGCACACCGCGGGGCCCGCCCCCAAGGCCACCAGGAGACAAAGCAAGCACCAAGCCACACCCAAGGGGGAGAGGCACCCCCGCGCCCCACCCGGCCGACACAGCCCGGAAAGACCCCGCAAGGAGAGACCCCGGCAAAGCCCCCCCGAGACCCACCGCCACGCCCGACCGCACCAUCUUGAUGUGCUUUUGCUCUAUGCAGUGGCCCAGCCACCAACAGAGGGGCCAGGCCCCCACCGGAGAGGCCCAAAUAUGUGUACCAACCCACCACCCU